This 460-nucleotide ribosomal RNA is filed under the name uncultured bacterium. RNAcentral's name for it is "partial 16S ribosomal RNA". It matches the Rfam family "Bacterial small subunit ribosomal RNA", at positions 338 to 795 of the family's 1533-position model. The record is from RNAcentral.
CCUACGGGUGGCAGCAGUGAGGAAUAUUGGUCAAUGGACGAGAGUCUGAACCAGCCAAGUAGCGUGAAGGAUGACUGCCCUCUGGGUUGUAAACUUCUUUUAUAUGGGAAUAAAACGUUCCACGUGUGGGAUUUUGUAUGUACCAUAUCAAUAAGGAUCGGCUAACUUCGUGCCAGCAGCCGCGGUAAUACGGAGGAUCCGAGCGUUAUCCGGAUUUAUUGGGUUUAAAGGGAGCGUAGGUGGUUUGUUAAGUCAGUUGUGAAAGUUGGCGGCUCAACCGUAAAAUUGCAGUUGAAACUGGCAGUCUUGAGUACAGUAGAGGUGGGCGGAAUUCGUGGUGUAGCGGUGAAAUGCUUAGAUAUCACGAAGAACUCCGAUUGCGAAGGCAGUUCACUGGACUGCAACUGACACUGAGGCUCGAAAGUGUGGGUAUCAAACAGGAUUAGAUACCCGAGUAGUC